Molecule: ribosomal RNA, 271 nt
Filed under: uncultured bacterium
Lineage: Bacteria
Description: partial 16S ribosomal RNA
Rfam family: Bacterial small subunit ribosomal RNA
Source: RNAcentral
UACGUAGGAUGCAAGCGUUGUCCGGAAUUAUUGGGCGUAAAGAGAACGUAGGUGGCUUGUUAAGUUCGGUCUUAAAGACCGGGGCUCAACCCCGGGAGUGAUUGAAGACUGGCAGGCUAGAGGAUGUCAGAGGAUGGUGGAAUUCCCAGUGUAGCGGUGAAAUAGCGUAGAUAUUGGGAGGAACACCUGUGGCGAAGGCGACUACCUGGACUGAUACUGACACUGAGGUGCGAAAGCGUGGGGAGCAAACAGGAUUAGAAACCCCGGUAGU